Podarcis lilfordi (Lilford's wall lizard) is the source of this 74-nucleotide non-coding RNA. Lineage: Eukaryota; Metazoa; Chordata; Lepidosauria; Squamata; Lacertidae. The record is from the annotation of a GenBank genome assembly.
GCACAUGAUAGCUCAGUCGGUAGAGCACGGGACUCUUAAUCUCAGGGCUGGGGGUUCAAGCCCCAUGUUGAGCU